Molecule: ribosomal RNA, 483 nt
Filed under: uncultured bacterium
Lineage: Bacteria
Description: SSU rRNA
Rfam family: Bacterial small subunit ribosomal RNA
Source: RNAcentral
AGAACGAACGCUGGCGGCAUGCCUAACACAUGCAAGUCGAACGCUUCCGGGGCUUCGGUCGCGGAGGAGUGGCGCACGGGUGAGUAGCGCGUGGGAACCUGCCCUGUUGUGGGGGAUAACCGAGGGAAACUUCGGCUAAUACCGCAUACGCCCCGGGACUUGGUCUUCGGAUUAGGUCUGGGGGGAAAGAUUGAUCGCAGCAGGAGGGGCCCGCGUCGGAUUAGCUGGUUGGUGGGGUAACGGCUCACCAAGGCGAUGAUCCGUAGCUGGUCUGAGAGGAUGAUCAGCCACACUGGGACUGAGACACGGCCCAGACUCCUACGGGAGGCAGCAGUGGGGAAUAUUGGACAAUGGGGGCAACCCUGAUCCAGCAAUGCCGCGUGAGUGAUGAAGGCCUUAGGGUUGUAAAGCUCUUUCGCCCGCGACGAUGAUGACGGUAGCGGGAGAAGAAGCCCCGGCUAACUACGUGCCAGCAGCCGCGGU